CCUACGGGUGGCAGCAGUGAGGAAUAUUGGUCAAUGGACGAGAGGCUGAACCAGCCAAGUAGCGUGAAGGAUGACUGCCCUAUGGGUUGUAAACUUCUUUUAUAUGGGAGUAAAACAGGGUAUGCAUACCCUCUUGUAUGUACCAUAUGAAUAAGGAUCGGCUAACUCCGUGCCAGCAGCCGCGGUAAUACGGAGGAUGCGAGCGUUAUCCGGAUUUAUUGGGUUUAAAGGGUGCGUAGGCGGGCUGUUAAGUCAGCGGUAAAAGCCCGGGGCUCAACCCCGGCGGGCCGUUGAAACUGGCUGGCUAGAGAUGUCGAGAGGUAUGCGGAAUGCGCAGUGUAGCGGUGAAAUGCUUAGAUAUUGCGCAGAACUCCGAUUGCGAAGGCAGCAUACCGGCGGCGAUCUGACGCUGAGGCACGAAAGCGUGGGUAUCGAACAGGAUUAGAUACCCUUGUAGUC
Molecule: ribosomal RNA, 459 nt
Filed under: uncultured bacterium
Lineage: Bacteria
Description: partial 16S ribosomal RNA
Rfam family: Bacterial small subunit ribosomal RNA
Source: RNAcentral